GGGGAAUUUUGGACAAUGGGCGCAAGCCUGAUCCAGCCAUGCCGCGUGCAGGAUGAAGGCCUUCGGGUUGUAAACUGCUUUUGUACGGAACGAAAAGGUGCCUUCUAAUAAAGGGCGCUCAUGACGGUACCGUAAGAAUAAGCACCGGCUAACUACGUGCCAGCAGCCGCGGUAAUACGUAGGGUGCGAGCGUUAAUCGGAAUUACUGGGCGUAAAGCGUGCGCAGGCGGUUUUGUAAGACAGAGGUGAAAUCCCCGGGCUCAAUCUGGGAACUGCCUUUGUGACUGUAAGACUGGAGUGCGGCAGAGGGGGAUGGAAUUCCGCGUGUAGCAGUGAAAUGCGUAGAUAUGCGGAGGAACACCGAUGGCGAAGGCAAUCCCCUGAGCCUGCACUGACGCUCAUGCACGAAAGCGUGGGGAGCAAACA
This 426-nucleotide ribosomal RNA is filed under the name uncultured bacterium. Its description in RNAcentral is "bacterial SSU rRNA". It matches the Rfam family "Bacterial small subunit ribosomal RNA", at positions 356 to 774 of the family's 1533-position model. The record is from RNAcentral.